Molecule: ribosomal RNA, 468 nt
Filed under: uncultured bacterium
Lineage: Bacteria
Description: partial 16S ribosomal RNA
Rfam family: Bacterial small subunit ribosomal RNA
Source: RNAcentral
GACGAACGCUGGCGGCGUGCUUAACACAUGCAAGUCGAACGGAAAGGCCCUGCUUUUGUGGGGUGCUCGAGUGGCGAACGGGUGAGUAACACGUGAGUAACCUGCCCUUGACUGUGGGAUAACUUCAGGAAACUGGGGCUAAUACCGGAUAGGAGCUCCUGCUGCGUGGGGGGGGUUGGAAAGUUUCGGCGGUUGGGGAUGGACUCGCGGCUUAUCAGCUGGUUGGGGGGGUAGUGGCGUACCAAGGCUUUGACGGGUAGCCGGCCUGAGAGGGUGACCGGCCACAUUGGGCCUGAGGUACGGCCCAGUCUCCUACGGGAGGCAGCGGUGGAGAGUAUUGCGCAGUGGGCGGGAGCCUGAUGCGGCGGCGCCGCGUGCGGGAUGACGGCCUUCGGGUGGUGAACCGCUUUCGCCUGUGACGAAGCGUGAGUGACGGUAAUGGGUAAGAAAGCACCGGCUAACUACGUG